RNAcentral lists this ribosomal RNA (120 nucleotides) under Colletotrichum higginsianum. The record is from RNAcentral. Lineage: Eukaryota; Fungi; Ascomycota; Sordariomycetes; Glomerellales; Glomerellaceae. RNAcentral also lists the same sequence under 1 other name.
ACAUACGACCAUACCCACUGGAGAACUCGGGAUCCCGUCCGCUCUCCCAUAGAUAAGCCAGUGAGGGCCAGAUUAGUAGUUGGGUCGGUGACGACCAGCGAAUACCUGGUGUUGUAUGUU